AAGUCGUAACAAGGUUUCCGUAGGUGAACCUGCGGAAGGAUCAUUAACACGUAUCCACGUAUCAAACAACAAUCCGUGAACUAAACCUUCCCUGGUCAUUUGAACAAAUGUCUAUACAGUAAUCCGUGAUGGUGUAUCUGCAAAGAUACAGGUGAAAGUAUAGGCUAGUGAGUCUUUGAGCUUACAGUUUGUUUGAAUGAUUGGGCCUAUUCUGUCACUUGAGUCACAUCAUCGAGUCUCUAUCAUGGGCGAUGAUUGUGUGCUCUUGGGACGUCAUUUACACACUAUAUUAACCAUUAUAACCUUAUUUGACUGAUGUACAGUAGUUCAAGAUGAAAAUCUUGUAACUGACUGAGAUUAUCUAAACUAAGCACAACUCUUAGCAAUGGAUAUCUUGGUUCUC
Molecule: unclassified non-coding RNA, 403 nt
Filed under: fungal sp.
Lineage: Eukaryota; Fungi
Description: partial internal transcribed spacer region
Rfam family: Eukaryotic small subunit ribosomal RNA (bases 1-46)
Source: RNAcentral